AACGCGAAGAACCUUACCUACUCUUGACAUCCUCGGAACCCUUCAGAGAUGAGGGGGUGCCUUCGGGAACCGAGAGACAGGUGCUGCAUGGCUGUCGUCAGCUCGUGUCGUGAGAUGUUGGGUUAAGUCCCGUAACGAGCGCAACCCUCGUCCUUAGUUGCCAGCACGUAAUGGUGGGAACUCUAAGGAGACUGCCGGUGAUAAACCGGAGGAAGGUGGGGAUGAUGUCAAGUCAUCAUGGCCCUUACGAGUAGGGCAACACACGUGCUACAAUGGCCGGUACAAAGGGUUGCCAAACCGCGAGGUGGAGCUAAUCCCAAAAAGCCGGUCAUAGUCCGGAUUGGAGUCUGCAACUCGACUCCAUGAAGUUGGAAUCGCUAGUAAUCGCGAAUCAGAAUGUCGCGGUGAAUACGUUCCCGGGCCUUGUACACACCGGCUAC
RNAcentral lists this ribosomal RNA (440 nucleotides) under uncultured bacterium. Its description in RNAcentral is "bacterial SSU rRNA". It matches the Rfam family "Bacterial small subunit ribosomal RNA", at positions 958 to 1397 of the family's 1533-position model. The record is from RNAcentral.